ACUUUUCUAGUAUAAAAGACUAGUACAAAUGACUUCCAAUCAUUUAAUCUUGGUUAAAGUCCAAGGAAAAGUA
RNAcentral lists this transfer RNA (73 nucleotides) under Pteroplatytrygon violacea (pelagic stingray). Its description in RNAcentral is "tRNA-Gly". It matches the Rfam family "tRNA". Rfam says of the family: Transfer RNA (tRNA) molecules are approximately 80 nucleotides in length. Their secondary structure includes four short double-helical elements and three loops (D, anti-codon, and T loops). The record is from RNAcentral. Lineage: Eukaryota; Metazoa; Chordata; Chondrichthyes; Myliobatiformes; Dasyatidae.